GACGAACGCUGGCGGCGUGCUUAACACAUGCAAGUCGAACGAUGAAGAAAAGAAUUGAAGCUUCGGCAGAAAUUCAUUUCGGAUUAGUGGCAGACGGGUGAGUAACGCGUGAGCAACCUACCUCUUACAAAGGGAUAGCCUCGGGAAACCGGGAUUAAUACCAUAUAACAUUGCGACGAAGCAUUUCGAUGCAAUCAAAGCUACGGCGGUAAGAGAUGGGCUCGCGUCCCAUUAACCAGAUGGUGAGGUAACGGCUCACCAUAGUAACGAUGGGUAACCGGCCUGGGAGGGUGAACGGUCACACUGGAACUGAGACAAGGUCCAGAAUCCUACGGGAGGGAGCAGUGGGGAAUAUUGCACGAUGGAGGGAACUCUGAUGCAGCGACGCCGCGUGAGUGAUGAAGGAAUUCGUUUCGUAAAACUCUGUUCUAUGGGAAGAAAAGGACUGUACCAUAGGAGAAAGCUCCGGCUAAAUACGUG
Molecule: ribosomal RNA, 480 nt
Filed under: uncultured bacterium
Lineage: Bacteria
Description: partial 16S ribosomal RNA
Rfam family: Bacterial small subunit ribosomal RNA
Source: RNAcentral